This 493-nucleotide ribosomal RNA is filed under the name uncultured bacterium. Its description in RNAcentral is "partial 16S ribosomal RNA". It matches the Rfam family "Bacterial small subunit ribosomal RNA", at positions 29 to 523 of the family's 1533-position model. The record is from RNAcentral.
AUUGAACGCUGGCGGCAUGCUUUACACAUGCAAGUCGAACGGUAACAGGUUAAGCUGACGAGUGGCGAACGGGUGAGUAAUGCAUCGGAACGUGCCCGGUCGUGGGGGAUAACGCAGCGAAGGCUGCGCUAAUACCGCAUACGAUCUAAGGAUGAAAGCGGGGGACCGUAAGGCCUCGCGCGAUCGGAGCGGCCGAUGUCAGAUUAGGUAGUUGGUGGGGUAAAGGCUCACCAAGCCAACGAGCUGUAGCUGGUCUGAGAGGACGACCAGCCAGACUGGGCCUGCGACACGGCCCAGACUCCUACGGGAGGCAGCAGUGGGGAAUUUUGGACAAUGGGCGAAAGCCUGAUCCAGCAAGGCCGCGGGCAGGAAGAAGGCCUUCGGGUUGUAAACUGCUUUUGUACGGAGCGAAAAGGUCUCCUCUAAUACAGGGGGCUCAUGACGGUACCGUAAGAAUAAGCACCGGCUAACUACGUGCCAGCAGCCGCCGUAA